RNAcentral lists this long non-coding RNA (499 nucleotides) under Homo sapiens (human). RNAcentral describes it as "HSALNT0408267". Lineage: Eukaryota; Metazoa; Chordata; Mammalia; Primates; Hominidae. The record is from RNAcentral.
GCAGCUUUCAACGUUUCGUCACUUUAUCUCUUUUGGUGGACUCUGCUACGUAGUGGCGUUCAGUGAAGGGAGCAGUGUUUUUCCCAGAUCCUCUGGCCUCCCCGUCCCCGAGGGAAGCCAGGACUAGGGUCGAAUGAAGGGGUCCUCCACCUCCACGUUCCAUUCCUGUUCCACCUCAAGGUCACUGGGAACACCUUUCGCAGCAAACUGCUAAUUCAAUGAAGACCUGGAGGGAGCCAAUUGUUCCAGUUCAUCUAUCACAUGGCCAGUUGGUCCAUUCAACAAAUGGUUAUUGGAUGCCCAUUAUGUGGCAGGCACUGUUCCGGGGGAGAGCUCUCCCAUUGGAUGCCUAUCACCUCCCAGUCCCCACCCCAAGAUGGAUCUUGAGAAAGGACAGGGCAUGUGACAACAAGUGGCAUAAGACUGAAGAAAAGAGCCUGGGCACGGUGGCUCACGCAUGUAAUCCCAGCACUUUGGGAAGCUGAGGCGGGUGGAUCAC